RNAcentral lists this transfer RNA (82 nucleotides) under Planktothricoides sp. SR001. RNAcentral describes it as "tRNA-Leu". It matches the Rfam family "tRNA". From Rfam's summary of the family: Transfer RNA (tRNA) molecules are approximately 80 nucleotides in length. Their secondary structure includes four short double-helical elements and three loops (D, anti-codon, and T loops). RNAcentral also lists the same sequence under 4 other names. Lineage: Bacteria; Bacillati; Cyanobacteriota; Cyanophyceae; Oscillatoriales; Oscillatoriaceae. The record is from RNAcentral.
GCGGAUAUGGUGGAACUGGUAGACACGCACGCUUGAGGGGCGUGUGGGGAGACCCUUGCGAGUUCGAGUCUCGCUAUCCGCA